Molecule: transfer RNA, 69 nt
Filed under: Magelona mirabilis
Lineage: Eukaryota; Metazoa; Annelida; Polychaeta; Spionida; Magelonidae
Description: tRNA-Gln
Source: RNAcentral
UAUAAAGCAGUGUAUGUUGCACAUAGAGUUUUGAUUUCUAUAGAAAAAGGUAGUUCCUUUUCUUUAUAA